This is a long non-coding RNA of Mytilus californianus (California mussel), 2762 nucleotides long. RefSeq lists it as uncharacterized. Lineage: Eukaryota; Metazoa; Mollusca; Bivalvia; Mytilida; Mytilidae. The transcript has 4 exons. The record is from RefSeq and is a predicted model, not a curated record.
UGAACCGUCACCUCCGUUUACCAACGUUGGAAUAGACACCUUUGGACCCUGGACAAUUGUUUCACGUAAAACACGUGGUAGAUACGCCAACUCAAAACGUUGGGCAAUUCUUUUCACAUGCUUAGUGACAAGAGCUGUUCAUAUCGAACUAAUCGAGGAAAUGAGCUCUUCAGCCUUCAUAAACGCCGUCAGAAGAUUCGCCGCUAUAAGAGGUCAAGUUAAGAUUUUCCGAUCUGACCGUGGAACAAACUUUAUUGGUGCAAUCGACGAUUUAAAGAUUGACUCAAUCAACGUCGAAGAUGGACCCUUCAAGAACUUUCUGUACAAUUCUGGUACAACUUGGAUCUUCAAUCCGCCACAUUCGUCCCACAUGGGUGGAGCCUGGGAAAGAAUGAUUGGUAUCGCAAGGAGAAUUCUUGAUUCUAUGCUUCUAAACGCAGCAGGAAGAAGCCUAACGCACGACGUGCUCAACACACUAAUGGCAGAAGUUUCAGCAAUAGUGAACUCUAGACCUCUGGUACCGGUAUCGACAGAUCCAGAGAGUCCGUUAAUCUUAACGCCAGCUAUGUUAUUGACACAAAAGACCGAUUACAUCUUCACUUCAGAUCAGCUUGGAGAAUUCGACAAACAGGAUCUAUGUCUAGCCGAAUGGAGACGUGUACAGGCUCUGGCCAGUGUUUUCUGGUCCCGUUGGAGGAAAGAGUACUUGCCGUUACUACAACCACGACGAAAAUGGACCGAAGAUCGCCGUGAUCUCAUCAAAGGAGACGUCAUUCUCCUAAAGGACAAAAACCUUUGCCGUACUCAAUGGCCCAUAGGCGUUAUAGUAAAUUCAUUUAAGAGUUCCGACGAACAUGUCCGGAAAGCAGAAGUACGAAUCAUCGUAAAUGGAAAAGCCACCAUCUACACACGCCCAAUCGUGGACAUGAUUCUUCUCAUAGAGAGCGAUUGUAUAUAGUUUUUGUUAAUAAUGAUACUAUGGAUUUUUACAGUGAAAUAUUCACGUGUGUUAUAUAUUUGGAAUAGUGAUAUCAGUUAGACAUCAGACGGGGAGUAUUCUGUUUCACAUUCAAUGUUUACUAUAUGUUUUCAUAAUCAUCCGGAACAAAUCGCACUGAACCGAUUUCUUACAUCACCGUACGCCUUUAAUUUCUGUGACACCGUCUGUUUCAAUAUUUCAACACAUGUAACAUGGACGACAUUUAAUUUUCUGAGGAAAUCGAGACAUAUCACUGUCAAGUACGUUUUAUUCAUUUAUAAACUGUGAUAAUUUAAUCUGUUUAAGUUCGUUAAUUUGGAUAAGUGAUUUAUUAAACGCAUACGAACUGUAAGUUAUUUAUAACCGAGAUUGGAACUGUAAAUUCUACUUUCGUUUUCAUUUCAUUGUUUUAAAUAUUUGCAUAUGAACUUUAAUAUGUUCUUUCAUACAUUGUAAGUAUUUCUUUUUGUUUUAUUGCAGUUUACCACAAACAAUCUACUGACUACUUGUAAACCUUUCUGGUGGAAUAUUAUAAUUACAAUUUUCGAAACAAGUUGUGUUCUUUAUAUAUUUGCCGAGAUUGCGAUACAGUCACCUGGUUAAGCUAGCUGAGUCAGGCUCAGUAUAAACUUCGACAUUUGAGCAGCUUUUGAGUGAAACACAUGACACAAUGUUCUAUUCAUCGUACGCACUGCAUAAAAGUGACUUUACACAAUUGGACGAUAUCCCAAAGUAUAUGCAGCCAGAUGGAAUUAAGCAAUUUGAUAUACAGGCAUUUCUGACAGACAUACUUUUUAAAAUUCAGCUGAAGAUCAGUUGUGCCGGUGCAGUGCUCGACAAAAUAGCAAAGCAAAAUGCAUCUGCUGAGCCAGUUCUAAUUUUUAAACCACCGGCACGCGACAAAAUAGAGAUAAAAGUAUCAUUAAUGGUUGGAGGUCCAAGUUCAUUGAUAACUGUUAGAUUAUCUGAUACAAUAAGUAAUGUAAAGAAAAAAAUAAAGAAGACCGUGUCAUGUGACCCAGAAUUCAAACUGCAUCUAAAAUUUGGCAAUAAAAUUCUCCGGGAUACCCUGACAGUUUUUGAUUACAAUAUUCAGAUCGGAUCAACUGUAUGUGUCAUCUACGAAUUGCCUAAAAAAGCAGAACAAAAGUAAGAAGAGACAGAAAGAAAUUUUGGGUUACAUAUAAAUGAGAAACUAUUUGGCCGUUAGUUUUUCUCGUUUGAAUUAUUCAACAUUUGAUAUUUCGUUGCCCUUUAUAGCUUGCUAUGCGGUAUGUGUUUUGCUCAUUGUUAAAUUCUUUUUUUUUUAUAUUGCUAUAUCAUUGUAUUUAUCUUCAUAAUUCUUUGAUUGAAAUCAAUAACAUUUAUACAAUAUCAUUGCCAUUAAUUUCAAUAUUUGAUACCAGAUAACAAAGUAAUCAUUAGAAAUGUACGUUCUUACUCCACGUUGUGGUCACCUGUUUAUUAUUUUUUUGUUUUGUAUUGGGUACUGAGUAAUUUGUCUGAAGCUGAUUAAGUGGGACAGGGUGCCCGGGCCCUCCUUAUGGAGCUACAUAUGGUUAAAGAAUAACGUAGUCAUUUUACAUGUCCGUCUCCAAAAUUUGACUAGUUUUGGGGUCACGGCCCCUUAUUUUUCAAAAUCUUGGAUCCGCACCUGUUUGUUACAGGUUUUUCCGAUUUUAUUAGGACUUUCUACCUGUCUGUCGAAAGACCUUUUGGUUCUUAAUAUGUUGUUUCUCUUCCGCCACUUUUAUUUCUAAUAUAUUCUAAGACACCGACUAGA